GACGAACGCUGGCGGCGCGCCUAACACAUGCAAGUCGAACGAGGUUGAGAGGAGCUUGCUUUUCUUGACUUAGUGGCGAACGGGUGAGUAACGCGUGAGGAACCUGCCUCAAAGAGGGGGACAACAGUUGGAAACGACUGCUAAUACCGCAUGAUACUUUUUGGGGGCAUCCCUAAAAAGUCAAAGCUUUAUGUGCUGAAAGAUGGUCUCGCGUCUGAUUGGCUAGUUGGUGAGGUAAUGGCUCACCAAGGCGACGAUCGGUAGCCGGACUGAGAGGUUGAUCGGCCACAUUGGGACUGAGACACGGCCCAG
This 312-nucleotide ribosomal RNA is filed under the name uncultured bacterium. RNAcentral describes it as "bacterial SSU rRNA". It matches the Rfam family "Bacterial small subunit ribosomal RNA", at positions 28 to 334 of the family's 1533-position model. The record is from RNAcentral.